CGAGUAUCCCAUUUUCUAAAGCACAGCAUGUAAAGGGUAGCUCGGUUAGCAGGAUGCUAGCAUGUAGCGCUUAGUGAGACACGCCUCAGACGAGUUGAGCAAAGACCCCGUCUGUGUACUUUAUACGUGAGCAACGGAUUUAAAUAAAAUUAAGGUUUCAAAAGACAAACUUGAAGAUAAAAAAAUAUAUAUACUCACCGGAGAGCCGCCAGGGUUUGCCGCUGCCAUCUUGGCGCUCCUAAAUUCAAAACUGCCUCUGCAGUCAGGCAGGGGAGGCGUGGAAAUUGUCUUUGAGUUAGUCAAACGUUUUCCUUAGUUCGAGUAGAUGAUAAAAAAAAAUAAUAAUAAAUGGGAUUUUAAGUAGGACUAGGCGUUCUGUAAUGAUCUCUAUUUAGGAGAAAAACUUAAUCACUCACCUUUAAACAGCUCUCUUUUAGGAGACACACUGCUGGCUAACGGUGUCAUGUGAUCAAACAGCGUAAUUUAAUUGGCUGAGAGCCACUCGACUCGAUCUGGUGCUGAUUGCUCUGGCUUGGGUCAUUAAAGUUCAUCACUUUUGCAGUUGAAUUUUUGCAGGUGAAUUUUUGCAGGUGAAUUUUUUGCAGGUGAAUUUUUUUCAGGUGAAUUUUUUGCAGGUGAAUUUUUGCAGGUGAAUUUUUUGCAGGUGAAUUUUUUGCAGGUGAAUUUUUGCAGGUGAAUAUUUUUGCAGGGAAAUUUGGAGGAUAAAAAUUCAGUGUCAUAAAUUCAAUGUCUAAAAAUACUUGAAUUCUGAUGAUACUAUAUUUCUUCCAUACUUCACAAUUGGUUAAAAACAAGAGAAAACAAUAUAGAAACAAAUAUAGAUAAAUGAGAAGAUAAUGUAUUAACAAUUUAAAAAUAUAAAACAGGCCUGAUGGUACUCAUACUGAACUCGAAUUAAAACCCAAAGUAAAAAAAGUGAGUUUUAAGAUGCG
Astatotilapia calliptera (eastern happy) is the source of this 953-nucleotide long non-coding RNA. The record is from Ensembl. Lineage: Eukaryota; Metazoa; Chordata; Actinopteri; Cichliformes; Cichlidae.